Molecule: ribosomal RNA, 373 nt
Filed under: uncultured eukaryote
Lineage: Eukaryota
Description: partial 18S ribosomal RNA
Rfam family: Eukaryotic small subunit ribosomal RNA
Source: RNAcentral
CAAUAGCGUAUAUUAAAGUUGUUGCAGUUAAAAAGCUCGUAGUUGAAUUUUUGCUUGCCGCCGAUGUCGGAACUUCCGUACGUUCGGAGGCGUGCAUCCUUGGGUGGAACCUGUGUGGCAUUAGGUUGUCGUGCAGGGGAUGCUCAUCGUUUACUGUGAAAAAAUUAGAGUGUUCAAAGCAGGCUUACGCCGUUGAAUAUAUUAGCAUGGAAUAAUAAGAUAGGACCUUGGUACUAUUUUGUUGGUUUGCGCACCGAGGUAAUGAUUAACAGGGACAGUUGGGGGUAUUCGUAUUCCAUUGUCAGAGGUGAAAUUCUUGGAUUUCUGGAAGACGAACUACUGCGAAAGCAUUUACCAAGGAUGUUUUCAUUAA